Molecule: RNA transcript, 1473 nt
Organism: Arabidopsis lyrata subsp. lyrata
Lineage: Eukaryota; Viridiplantae; Streptophyta; Magnoliopsida; Brassicales; Brassicaceae
Gene name: beta carbonic anhydrase 5, chloroplastic-like
Exons: 9
Source: RefSeq, a predicted model, not a curated record
UUCUAUAUCUUAGUAGUUAAUAUUCGUUUUUGUUAGUUUUCUGAUUUAGUUUCUAAUUAAAAAGUUAAAUUUCUUAAGAUAAUGAUUGAUGUUUGCCCUAAUCUUAAAGCUAUAUAUAUUGUUGAUCGGUGAGAAUUAGGUAUUAUUUUUUCUGUGCCCAUUAGAUAGUUUUCACCGUUAUGAUUUUUUUAUACAGCUACGAUUCUGAUGAAUCAAAUUGUUUGUCAUGCAAAUACUGUUUUCAUUUACCUUUAGACGUCGUGUGCAUAUUGUUUGUUGUUUGUUUUAUUUUUUGCAUUAAUUCGUUGAUUUAUUGUUUUGCUGAUUUGAUUCUUUUGAUAUGUGUUUCAGUUUUGUAGAACGUGGGAGGUUCCAUCGACAAAGCUUUCGGACGAAGAUGGUUUUGACGAGAACAGAACGAGGUUUGGAAAGGUUACAAUGAGAUGUGGGCAUACGAUCAUCAAAGCGUGUUUGUUUCAUCGUACAAAAAAAAUCUGUUUUGAAGCUCACGAAAAAACAGAGGUUGCUCGCUCUAAUGUCAUUAUCGUGCAAGUUAUCGUCUCCGGUGGCUCUCUAAAUCGAGAUCGAUGUCGAGAUUGCAAAGCUUGCCAUGGAUGGAAGAUGAGCUUUCGGGAGUGUGUUGAAGUAUAGAAGAAAAGCUUCAAACUUGCAAGUGAUGGCUUCAGGAAAGACACCUGGACUGACUCAGGAAGCUAAUGGGGUUGCAAUUAAUAGACAAAAUGACAAUGAUGUAUUUGACGACAUGAAACAGCGGUUCCUCGCCUUCAAGAAGCAUAAGUACUUUUGCUUUUGCUUUUUCAAUGGUUUAUAAAUUACUUCAAGAAGCGGAUAACUUAGAACACUACAAAAAUUUGGCAGAUGCUCAAGCUCCGAAGUUUCUGGUGAUCGCUUGUGCAGACUCUAGGGUUUGUCCUUCUACUGUCCUGGGAUUCCAACCGGGUGAUGCAUUCACUGUUCGCAACAUUGCAAAUUUAGUACCUUCAUAUGAGCGUGAAAGAAAGAAUCCUCAUGACCUAAAUGGUGUCUAUAUAUUUAAUGUUCAAGAAAGAAAGUGUAUUGACCGUCCAAUAGCAAGAAAUUCAAUAUCAUAGAAGGAAGUAUGCAAACACUUGAUGUUGGAUGCAGGACUACGUUUUAUGUUUUCUACACAUAUAUGGCAGAAUAUAUUGGGUUCAAGUUUUCAAACAUAGAACCGAGAAAUCAGAAAAGCAAAACUUUUAUAUUUUUAAGCCGAAUUUCAUAUUCAUCGUCCUCUACUACAUGAGCAGUGUUGGUAAUGUUUAGAUUUCAUGUUGUACUUAUGAAUUGGUGCAGGAUUUGGAUGAACUGAAUAGUGGUAGAGAGAUGGUUUACGAGAGAAUCCAAACUCACUUAACUUGAUCGAAGUCAUAUCAAGAUACUGAAUGUGGUGCUGUUAAUGCUUCUAAUGGCCCCAUUAAUACACAUGUCUAU